This 437-nucleotide ribosomal RNA is filed under the name uncultured bacterium. Its description in RNAcentral is "partial 16S ribosomal RNA". It matches the Rfam family "Bacterial small subunit ribosomal RNA", at positions 29 to 507 of the family's 1533-position model. The record is from RNAcentral.
AGCGAACGCUGGCGGCAGGCUUAACACAUGCAAGUCGAGCGGGCAUCCUUGUGGUGUCAGCGGCAGACGGGUGAGUAACGCGUGGGAACGUGCCCUUCGGUUCGGAAUAACUCAGGGAAACUUGAGCUAAUACCGGAUACGUGCUAGAGCAGAAAGGUUUAUCUGCCGAAGGAUCGGCCCGCGUCUGAUUAGCUAGUUGGUGAGGUUAUGGCUCACCAAGGCGACGAUCAGUAGCUGGUCUGAGAGGAUGAUCAGCCACACUGGGACUGAGACACGGCCCAGACUCAUACGGGAGGCAGCAGUGGGGAAUAUUGGACAAUGGGGGCAACCCUGAUCCAGCCAUGCCGCGUGAGUGAUGACGGCCUUAGGGUUGUAAAGCUCUUUUCUCCGGGACGAUAAUGACGGUACCGGAGGAAUAAGCCCCGGCUAACUUCGUG